RNAcentral lists this ribosomal RNA (264 nucleotides) under uncultured bacterium. RNAcentral's name for it is "partial 16S ribosomal RNA". It matches the Rfam family "Bacterial small subunit ribosomal RNA", at positions 793 to 1055 of the family's 1533-position model. The record is from RNAcentral.
GUCCACGCCCUAAACGAUGUCAACUGGUUGUUGGGGUUUGACACUCUCAGUAACGAAGCUAACGCGUGAAGUUGACCGCCUGGGGAGUACGGCCGCAAGGUUAAAACUCAAAGGAAUUGACGGGGACCCGCACAAGCGGUGGAUUAUGUGGAUUAAUUCGAUGCAACGCGAAAACCUUACCUACCCUUGACAUGUCCUGGAGGCUCCAGAAAUGGGGCUGUGCCCCGAAAGGGAACGGGAACACAGGUGCUGCAUGGCUGUCGU